Pocillopora damicornis (cauliflower coral) is the source of this 422-nucleotide long non-coding RNA. Lineage: Eukaryota; Metazoa; Cnidaria; Anthozoa; Scleractinia; Pocilloporidae. The record is from RefSeq and is a predicted model, not a curated record.
AUACAUCGAGUAGUUCAUAUGCUCCGCCGGUGGAAUCAGGAAUUAUUUCACCUCAAAAACCAGUACCGUCCCUGCCGUCUCAAUAUGGAUCCCCAUCACCACAUUUGCCUCCCGCUCCGCCACCUUUUCCCUCGCCUCCAGCAGAAGCACCUGCCUCUUCCACUUCUCAUACUCCAUCGGCAAAUGAACCGUCAGUUGCUCCCCCUCCGGUACCAGCUUCAGCUCCUCCUUCUCCGGGUCCAGCAUCGCCAUCGCACCACAAAGAUAAUGGAUCCUUUCACUAUCAUUUCCAUUAUCACCGGUCGAAGAAUCCUUUAAAUGGUUGUCCAAGUGAAUGUUCUAACUCGGUCCUAUGUUCUCCUCAGUCUUGUCCGUUACAUUGUUGUAAGCGAGACGGAAACGAUUACAUUGACGACGAUGAA